GGGGCUGACUGGUUUUGACAGCAUUUGAAACGGAUAUGCCAGCAUGCCGGGCAAGGUAACAAGACCCGUAAAACCUGGUUACACACAAUUUUAAUUGGCGAAACUAAUUACGCUCUCGCAGUCUAAUCGAAGCACAGUAGAUGGGCUCUAUCCUCCGUCAAGGUUACGGGGGACGAGACGGCUCGCAGGUGGAGAUGUCUGAUUCCGGCCUGGUAACGAGUCGCAAGGAACUUCAGACUAGUCCCGGUGGCGCCUCACUGCCGGGAUGAAAUUCAAGAGGCUAAGGAAAUAUUUUGGGUGUUUGUCCCCGUGUAUUUCCCGACAAUCAAUGACAAACUAAGCAUGUAGAAAGCAUAUUGGUUCCGUGUUUGGACGAGGGUUCGAAUCCCUCCAGCUCCACAG
This 402-nucleotide transfer-messenger RNA is filed under the name Bacteroidota bacterium. Its description in RNAcentral is "Bacteroidetes bacterium (hydrothermal vent metagenome) transfer-messenger RNA". It matches the Rfam family "transfer-messenger RNA". From Rfam's summary of the family: Bacterial tmRNA, also known as 10Sa RNA or SsrA, is named for its dual tRNA and mRNA-like properties. Its role is to liberate the mRNA from a stalled ribosome. The record is from RNAcentral. Lineage: Bacteria; Pseudomonadati; Bacteroidota.